RNAcentral lists this ribosomal RNA (460 nucleotides) under uncultured bacterium. RNAcentral's name for it is "partial 16S ribosomal RNA". It matches the Rfam family "Bacterial small subunit ribosomal RNA", at positions 338 to 795 of the family's 1533-position model. The record is from RNAcentral.
ACUACGGGGGGCAGCAGUGAGGAAUAUUGGUCAAUGGACGAGAGUCUGAACCAGCCAAGUAGCGUGAAGGGUGACUGCCCUAUGGGUUGUAAACUUCUUUUAUAUGGGAAUAAAACAGGGUAUGCAUACCCUCUUGUAUGUACCAUAUGAAUAAGGAUCGGCUAACUCCGUGCCAGCAGCCGCGGUAAUACGGGGGAUCCGAGCGUUAUCCGGAUUUAUUGGGUUUAAAGGGUGCGUAGGUGGAUUGUUAAGUCAGUUGUGAAAGUUUGCGGCUCAACCGUAAAAUUGCAGUUGAAACUGGCAGGCUUGAGUACAGUAGAGGUGGGCGGAAUUCGUGGUGUAGCGGUGAAAUGCUUAGAUAUCACGAAGAACUCCGAUUGCGAAGGCAGCUCACUGGACUGCAACUGACACUGAUGCUCGAAAGUGUGGGUAUCAAACAGGAUUAGAUACCCGGGUAGUC